UUUGGUGGUUAUAGCAUUGGGGUCCACCUCUUUCCAUUUCGAACAGAGUAGUUAAGCCCAAUAGCGCCGAUGGUACUGAGUAAAAUCGGGAGAGUAGGUCGCCGCCUUUU
Ribosomal RNA from Flavobacteriaceae bacterium, 110 nucleotides. The record is from Rfam. NCBI's taxonomy places the organism in Bacteria, Pseudomonadati, Bacteroidota, Flavobacteriia, Flavobacteriales, Flavobacteriaceae.